Molecule: ribosomal RNA, 465 nt
Filed under: uncultured bacterium
Lineage: Bacteria
Description: bacterial SSU rRNA
Rfam family: Bacterial small subunit ribosomal RNA
Source: RNAcentral
AUUGAACGCUGGCGGAAUGCUUAACACAUGCAAGUCGAACGGUGACGAGGAGCUUGCUCCUCUGAUCAGUGGCGAACGGGUGAGUAACACGUGAGUAACCUGCCCCAGACUCUGGGAUAACAGUUGGAAACAGCUGCUAAUACCGGAUACGAGACGGAGAGGCAUCUCUACCGUCUGGAAAGUUUUCGGUCUGGGAUGGACUCGCGGCCUAUCAGCUUGUUGGUGAGGUAAUGGCUCACCAAGGCGACGACGGGUAGCCGGCCUGAGAGGGCGACCGGCCACACUGGGACUGAGACACGGCCCAGACUCCUACGGGAGGCAGCAGUGGGGAAUAUUGCACAAUGGGCGAAAGCCUGAUGCAGCGACGCCGCGUGAGGGAUGACGGCCUUCGGGUUGUAAACCUCUUUCAGCAGGGAAGAAGCGAAAGUGACGGUACCUGCAGAAGAAGCACCGGCUAACUACGUG